UCGAGUUCCCGACUCCCUAUUAACUUGUUUGGUUGUUGUGUGCUUGGAAGCUGAUGUAAGUCCAUUGAGUGGCAUUCGGGCUCCAGUGUGCGUGUGUUUGGUUCGGAUGCCGAUGCAAGUCCAGUAAUUGGCUUUCGGGCUCCACGUUUGCCUUUUUGUGUGUGUUUUGGUUCGGAUGCUGAUGUAAGUCCAGUGGUUGGCAUUCAG
Molecule: long non-coding RNA, 207 nt
Filed under: Lathyrus oleraceus (garden pea)
Lineage: Eukaryota; Viridiplantae; Streptophyta; Magnoliopsida; Fabales; Fabaceae
Description: Pisum sativum (pea) long non-coding RNA (PSAT_LNC025761)
Source: RNAcentral